UCCGCGGCGCAGGCGCAGUAGCGCGCAGCGGGCCCGGUCUCGCGGGGCGUGGUGGAAAGCACGGCCGGGCCCGAGGCCAGUCCCGGUCCGGGCCGCUAGGCAGGCGGGCGGCGGUCCCUGCAGUGCCGGUCCCGCGAGGGCCGCGCUGUGUUCCUCGGGAGCGGCCGGGCACCGGCCGAGCGCCGUUAAACAUCCGUUAAACCGCCGCCUGGGGGGGGGAGGGGCGGGGCGGGAAUAGGUGGGUGUGUUGCGCAUGCGCGGUCCCAUUGCGGCCUUCGCAGCCCGGGGCCGGCGCCUCGGGGCGGGAGCGCGGCCCGGAGCCCUGGGAGGAACCGGCGGGAAAGCCGGGAGGGGGGGUUCCRCGGUUCCCAGGCCUGUGCUGCCUCUGUGCACCCAGGUCUUCCCCUAACGGCCCCGCUGCGCCUUCCGAGCCACGUGGAGCAAAGGCUGUAGGUGCAGCAGGAAUCUUAAAAGGACGAAUGUCGACUGAAAGUAUAAAAGUCUUUUUCUUCAGGACAAGGCUCAGCUGUUUGUUCCUGAAGGAAUGGCUUCAAAUUUUGGAUCUGACCAGUGACUACUCUAAGAGACAGCAUGGUUCCCAAAGAAAGGAAGAUGCUGUGAGAUGUGCUGGGACACUGGCUCCACCAAAGGAUCAGGAACAAGAAAUAUAUAGGCCAUAUCUUCAGGAAUGA
RNAcentral lists this long non-coding RNA (692 nucleotides) under Apteryx owenii (little spotted kiwi). RNAcentral's name for it is "lncRNA (ENSAOWG00000017777.1)". The record is from RNAcentral. Lineage: Eukaryota; Metazoa; Chordata; Aves; Apterygiformes; Apterygidae.